CGAGCAGGCCGGGCAGCCGCGGGCGCAGCGCGAAAGCGCGCGUGCGAGGAAAGUCCGAGCUCCACAGGGCGGAAUAACGGCUAACGGCCGCCGGGGGCGACCCCAGGGAAAGUGCAACAGAAAGAAACCGCCGCAUUUGCGGUAAGGAUGGAAAGGCGGGGCAAGAGCCCACCAGCGCGCGGGAGACCGCGCGGCUCUGCAAACCCUAUUCGGAGCAACACCGCAGAGGGACGUUGCGCGCCGGCCCGGCGCGUCCCGAGAAGGUGGCAUCGAGCCGCGGUGGCGACACCCGGCCAAGAUAGAUGGCUGCUUAAGACAGAACUCGGCUUACAGGCCUGGUCGCAUU
This 346-nucleotide RNase P RNA is filed under the name Caproiciproducens sp. NJN-50. RNAcentral describes it as "Bacterial RNase P class A". It matches the Rfam family "Bacterial RNase P class A". Rfam says of the family: Ribonuclease P (RNase P) is a ubiquitous endoribonuclease, found in archaea, bacteria and eukarya as well as chloroplasts and mitochondria. Lineage: Bacteria; Bacillati; Bacillota; Clostridia; Eubacteriales; Acutalibacteraceae. The record is from Rfam by way of RNAcentral.